This 21508-nucleotide long non-coding RNA is filed under the name Capsicum annuum. Its description in RNAcentral is "long non-coding RNA (CANN_LNC016396)". The record is from RNAcentral. Lineage: Eukaryota; Viridiplantae; Streptophyta; Magnoliopsida; Solanales; Solanaceae.
UUGAGAAUGUUAAGGCUAAGUAUUCAAUGGAUAUGAUAAUGCAUUUUGGAAACUAUUUGUCUUCCUCAAUAUAAGAAACCAGGAGAGAAAUAAAAAUAAGAGAGUCUUAUUGGUGAAAACCUUCACAGGCAUCAUAAGGUGGUGGUAAGUUGAGAGAUUCUUAUUGGUGAAAACUAUCACGAGCACCGUAAGAUGACUGUGAGUUGAGAGAAAUGAAAACAAGAGAGUCUCAUUGGUGAAAACCUUCACGAACACCAUAGGGUAAUGGUGAACUGAGAGAAAGAAAAUCAGAGAGUCUUGUUGGCGAAAACCUUUCAAGGUGUCACUAGCCGAAUGACAUCUAUAAGUGCAGUUGACCUAAGAAAGCAACUUGGUUUCAAGGUCAUUAUCUUAACAACAAUUGGUAGAAGUUUGGAUAAAAAGAUCAGGCAGCGUAAUAAAAAAUGCAUGUCAUAAUCAUUAGAGUUGGUUGUCGUUGUCAAACAAAUUUUUCUUUUCUCUAUUUCAAUGGGGACAUUCAUUGUCUUUUCUUUCUGCUCUAUAUUUCUAUUUUUAUUUUCUUGAGUUAGUUAUUCAAAUAGAAAGUCAUUUUUCUUGUGUUUUUGAGUCAAAUAAAUGUCAAAGUAAGUGAGAAAAUAUUUCAAAAUCGGCUACCAACUUCUUCAAUUGCACAAAGCAAUACAAAAAGUACUGAUUGUGAGCCGAAAUAAGGCAUGCAGAAAGUUUUGUCAAUGGAUAAGUCUGGGAACUCAUAGAAAUACCAAGGUUCAAAGGAUGUGUCUGAGAAAUAUAGCAACAACAGAGAUACUGUGUUUGUGUCAGAGUUACUCUUAGUGAUUCGGGUUUAGAUCAAUGCUACAGCAAGUCAAUAAAAAUGACAAUGGUUGGAAGCAAGAUUGAAUGUGACCAGCGCAAGAGCAAUUGCCUCAAAAGCCGAAGCCACAAACCAGCCACUAUGUUUUAAACUCACAAGUUUUUUUUAUGAAACAAGAAACAUGUUACCUUCAAAUCAAGGACUUCAACGCCUAAACAUCAAAGGCCGUAAUUUCUCAAAUCUACAAAUGCAAGGGGGCAAUAGUGCUGCACAGGUUUGGUAAUCAAAACCAUGGUAAAACUUAUAAUUUGAUAUUUCUAGAAGACACACUUCCUUGUCUAGGUAAUUAAGGUUUAUUUAUUAGAUGAUGCACUUCCUAAAUUGAACCUUUACUCCUGGAAGUCACACUUUCUAGUUGAGUCCUUCCAUUUAAUCUUAAGGAGAAGCAUUUCCUUGUCUGAAUAAUUUAAGCAACAUUGGUAAGGAGAUGCAAUUUCUAGUUUGGGUAAUUUAAGCGGCAUUUUUAAGGAGACGCACUUCUUUGUUUGGGUAAUUCAAGUGGCAUUUGUAAGGAGACACACUUCCUUGUUUGGGUAAUUCAAGCGACAUUUAUAAGGAGACGCACUUCCUUGUUUGGGUAAUUUAAGUAGCAUUUACAAGGAGACGCACUUCCUUGUUUGGGUAAUUCAAGCGGCAUUUGUAAGGAGAUGCAGUUCCUUGUUUGGAUAAUUCAAGCGGCAUUUGUAAGGAAACGCACUUCCUUGUUUGGAUAAUUUGAGUGGUAUUUGUAAGGAUACAAACUUCCUUGUUUGGGUAAUUCAAGUGGCAUUUGUAAGUAGAAGCACUUCCUUAUUUGCGUAAUUCAAGCGACAUUUAUAAGGAGACACACUUCCUUGUUUGGGUAAUCCAAGCGGCAUUUGCAAGGAGAUGCACUUCCUUGUUUGGGUAAUUUAAGCGGCAUUUGUAAGGAAACGUGCUUCCUUGUGUGGGUAAUUCAAGUGGCAUUUGUAAGGAGAUGCACUUCCUUAUUUAGGUAAUUCAAGCAGCAUUGGUAAGGAGACGCACUUCCUUAUUUUGGUAAUUCAAGCGGCAUUGGUAAGAAGACGCACUUCCUUGGAUGGGUAAUUCAAAUUUUACUUGCUAGGUGAUGUACUUUCUAACUUAAUUCUUGACUCCUAGAAAAUAAACUUUCUAGUCGAGUCAUUUUCUUUGACUCCUAAAAGAUGUACCUUUUAGUCGAGUCAUUCCCCUUGAUUCCUAGAAGAUGUACUUUCUGGUCGAGUCAUUCCCUUUGACUCCUAGAAGAUGUACCUUCAAGCCGAGUCAUUCCUCUCGAUUCCUAAAAGAUAUAAUUUUUAGUUGAAUCAUUCCCUUUGACUCUUAGAAGAUGUAAUUUUUAGUCGAGUCAUUCCCCUUGACUCUUAGAAAAUAUACUUUCUAGUCGAGUCAUUCCCCUUGACUCCUAGAAGAUGUACUUUCUAUUCGAGUCAUUCCCUUUGACUCCUAGAAGAUGUACCUUCUCGUCGAGUCAUUCUUAUUGACUCCUAGAAAAUAUACUUUCUAGUCGAGUCAUUCACCUUGACUCCUAGAAGAUGUACUUUCUAGUCGAGUCAUUCCCCUUGACUCCUAGAAGAUGUACUUUCUAGUCGAGUCAUUCCCCUUGAAUCCUAGAAAAUAUACUUUCUAGUCGAGUCAAUCCCUUUGACUCCUAAAAGAUGUACUUUCUAGUCGAGUCAUUCCCUUUGAUUACAAAAGUUGUACUUUCUAGUCAAGUCAUUCCCUUUGACUCCUAGAAGAUGUACCCCCUAGUGGAGUCAUUCCCCUUGAUUCCUAGAAAAUAUACCUUCUAGUCGAGUUAUUCCCCUUGACUCCUAAAAAAUAUACUUUCUAGUUGAGUCAUUUCCCUUGACACCUAGAAGAUGCACUUUCUAGUCGAGUCAUUCCCUUUGACUCCUUGAAGAUGUACUUUAUAGUCGAUUCAUUCCCCUUGAUUCCUAAAAGAUACACUUUCUAGUCAAAUCAUUCCAAUUAACCCAUAGAAGAUGCAUUUCCUUAUUUGGAUUUUUCAAGUAGUUAUGAUGUGACUUUCACAAAAGUCCUUUGAUGAUAAACUGGGGCAAAAAUUUAAUUCAUGUUGUUUGGAAAUUUAUUUUUUUUGGCAAAUGGAAUCUCUCUUUAUAAUAAUCUUUGUUUGAAAUAAUUUUCUUUCAAGUGUUGAUCUAAUUUCAGGAGCCCUCUUGGAGAACAUGGUGAAGAAAUGAAAAGUCAAGCAAUAAGGUGAAGAUGUUGAAAGUCAAGCAACAAGAUGAAGAAAUUGAAAGUCAACAGAUUGAAGAAAUAGCAAGUCAGGAUCCCACCUGGAGAACAGGGUGAAGAAAUUGAAAGUCAAGUAACAAGGUGAUGAAAUUGCAAGUCAGGAGUCCGCCUGGAGAAUAGAGUGAUGAAAUAGCAAGUCAAGUGCCAAGAAAAGUUACAUAGCUAGGACUUUUGUAAUUUUUUUUAUAUUUUUAACUUGUAAUUUUUUUCAUUUUUGAUAUAAUGAUAGAGCUGCGGAUUGGAACCUCGGCAGGGCCUCUCCAACUCGGUAUGGUCCCUCGCCUUCUAACCCUUUGAAAUAAGUGUGACUCGAUCCCCCCAUAAUCUGGGUAAGUAGGAUGUCCAAAAUUAAGAAUCGGUUCCAUUCCUUCCUUCUGUUUUCUUUUUUCGAAUAAUGGUCGGGCAAAAUUUGAUCUCGAUGUCUACUUCUUUGUCUGAAAACACUUUGUGAGUGGCAUGAUGUGGACAUGUAAUCUUAUCCCUCCCUAAAUUUAUUAUUUUACCAUUUUUUACCCCGUCUUACUACGUACCUUCACCCAUGUGAUAAGUUCCAUACAAUAACAAAUCCAACAAAUUCUUAACAACUUUUAACACCUCAUCUUAACAAAAUUAACAACCUACCAUAACAAUUUUGACAUAUCACACCCCUCAUCCUACCCCCACCCCACACCCCUACCCAUGUACCCCUGCCUCUUUUGAGAAUAUAUAUAUAUACACGCACACCACACUCUCAAUUGGAGGAAUCACCAUCACUCUCGGUGGGAAACACACACACUCCAUUUUUUCUUCACAACAUAGAACACACACCACUACAAUACACAGAUAUAUACAGAGACUCCUCUAUUUUCUUCUCAUUAAUAGAUCUCACUAGAAUUCUCACACACACCAUCACACAGCAAAUACUCACUCACCCCCAUAAUACACAUACAGACUCUCCACAGAAUAAUUCACACACACAAUAAUUUAUCCUCACAGAUUAUAUUUUUCCAUGGAUUAACAUCUACACGUAGAAACGCAAAACACAUAAUCACAUAUAGUAGAACACAUACACAUACAAAACUAGGCACACGCAGAUAAACGCAUAAGAGAGAUCGAGAGGAGAGGGAUUGAGUGGGAAACAUUAAAGAAUUAGAGCAGAAAGCAGAGAGAGAGAAACGGGAUAUGAAAGAAGAUCACACUACUUUGAAUUUUUGAUGAAAUUUUGUUGGAACCACUGUUCCACCCUUAAAUUCGACACAUCCAUCUUGCCGGAAACCUCAUUCUCUCGUUAAAAAUUUCCCAUCCCUACAACUCAAUCAAAAUUAUCUUUAACGAACUUCAAAUCCCAUCGAAAAACUAAACUCGGCCAAAAUCCAACAAGAACAUUUACCCCAUCCCUUUUUACUAUUCAUUGGAAAUCCAUCAGAAAAUGACAUGGGAUGGGUGCUGGUCUUCUUAUCUAGUGAUUUUUCAUUCAGUUUUAGCAAGGCAAAGUAAAGGGAAUUAGAUCAAAGAUUGAUUUAUUUGUUUGGUUGAGGCUCGGUUUGAUAUUUCAAUUGCAGGUUUAAUUGGAAGGAGUACUUACACUUGAAAACAUCAAAUUGAGGUCCAAUUAUGUUCUUUCCCUCUUUUUAUUUCAUCGCUUAUUAUAUUUGAUGCAUAGGAUUGAACAUUGUUUGUUGGGUUGAUCUCAGAUGCUAUUGGAUAACUGCUUGUGUUGAUGCAUUGUUGAUUUACUUGAUUGGUGGAUUGCAUAUUGAAUUGGUUUAAUCAUGUUGAGAAUGAAUUUAGGGGUGAGAAUUGAAAACAGAUAAAAAUAAACAUGAUUAGUUUGUAUUGAUUAAUUGAUGUUUGUUUGAUGCAAAAUAGGCGUCGAAUUUGCUGAAUUUGAUAAUAUCAUGCUUUAGAUCAAAACUAGUAGACAAAUGCUAGGUCGGGUAGGCAAAAUUUAGGAAUGGUGUUUUGUCGAAUGUUUGAAUGUGUGUGUGAAUGGUUCUUUCUAUUUUAUCGCAUAAGACUUGAAAUUGUAUUCCCCGAGAUCAUAUUGUACUUAUUCACCGGGGGAAUGCCCCAAAGUGUCAUGUACGCAAAGGUGGAUCAUGAUCAAGGAUCGAGUCAUCGGGUAAAGCAUAGUUAGGAUAGUUAGAAUAGUUUAGGUUUUAAUUUCAGCAUUUUUUAUUCUCGAUUUGUAAUAAAUUGGACUGGACAUUAUAUUUUUGGACUUGUUUCAUUUUUAUUUGUUUGAUUGAUUGUUAUGUGUUUUAUGUGGUUUGUACAUUCAUAGUGUCGUACUAGCCGAUAUACUCUAUGAAGCAACCGUGGUAGAACCACGGGACCGAGGGAUGCCUAAUACCUUCCCCUCGGUCAAUAAAACUCCUUAAUUGAAAUCUCUGUUCGUGGAUCAAUUUUAAAGAGUCAAAAUUAUUUUGAAAAAGGAUAUCAAAAGGUGACUUGGCAUACACGAUUUAUGUCAAGUGGUGACUCUGAGUUUUGAAUAUAAACAAUCCUUUUCGAAAGAAAUUAUUUUCUUUUGUCACUUAAUAAUAAAACCCUUUUCAAACUUUAAAAUUAAUCUUUUUGGUUAAAAAAGAGGUGUGAUACCUUUCUUGGAAUAUGGAUGGUAUUUCCUUAUUGCAAUUGUUGUUGUUGUAUUUCCUUAUUUCAUUUUUGUGCCAAGCAGAAAAAAUGGGUAAUGCCCUACCAAAAAUAGUACUUGUUAGGUUAGAACUAAAUAUUAACACACGUGUUUAGAAUCUGCAACCAAAGAAAAAAAAUUCUCCACUAAUAAUUGUGAUAGCUUGGUUCCUAAUGGGAAGCAUUUUGGAAAGGAAUUCGGGUUUCUCGCCUAUUUGUUGGAAAGGAAAACUAAUAUCGACCAGUGUGGUGAGAUGUAAACUUCAUGUGGUAAUAUGUAAAAUAGAAGAAUUUUAUAUUGGGAAAGCACAUAUUUUUUUAUGAGGUUUGGAAAACGUAUUAUUUGGGAAAGUAGAAUGCAGAUAUUUAUUUGUUUCAGGGUGUAGGAGGUUUCUAUUGCUGUUUCCUCUUUAUUCAUGACCUGAGGUCAACCACUAUUUGUUUGGUUGAGCUAUAAACUACUAGAAAUGGGCUUGAUUUUUAGGAUCUUCAUUCUGAAUGAUUAAGACCGUUUGCGCAUAUAGUAGUGUUGUUAUAUGUGUUUCCCCUCCAAAGCUUGAGAAGAUUGGAGGUUCUGAUUAUGGUUAAGGUGAAUAAGUACCUGCACUUUAUCAGACAUUUCAUAUCUUUUAUAAGUUUCAUAAGCAUUUCAUGCGAUGCCUUGGUUCAAGUGGUUAACCAUUUCACAAGGUUAUCCGAAAGAUCCUGAAAGAUGAACAUUCACUUAUCUUUAGUGCAGCUAUGGAGCAAUGACCCAUGAGACUAAGCCAUGCAUGGAAAGGCAAUGCAAACUGACAGCAAAUGGACAGAAAAACAUAUUUCUCCCACUUCGAGCUGGAUUACGAUGGUAAAAGGAAUUGUUGGAAUGAUUACGAUACUGCUUCUUAUGCCCAUGACAUUGAACGAUAUGAAGCACGGGACGAAGCAAGACGGAAAUACCUCAAGGAGAAACAACUUAGAAAAUUGAAAGGGAAAAAUUCCAUUACUUCUUUUUUGGAUUAUUUGUCCCUGAUUUGAAGGUCUAUCAAACACAACCUCUUUAUUAAGGUAGGCAUAAGGUAUGACACACAUUACCAUCUUCAGACUCUACUUUCUAAGACGACACUGGGUGUGCUAUUGUUGUUUUGUUGCUGCAGUUGGUCUUUCUGAUGUGGUUCCUAGUUUAUCGAGUUUUACAUGUUGGUUCCUAUGUAAAGCUUAUUCUUGUUGUUAGCAAUUUGUAGAAGCAAAUCGCCUUCAACCCAAUACGCAUCAGUUGGAGUAGUACUGAGACAUCACGGAUGAAUGAUAUUUCAACUUCUGACAUUAGAGAGUGGAUUUUGUAUCCCUUUACUGCUCAGUCUCUAUCCAUCUUGGAUGAAUGACAUUUCAACUUCUCUGACAUUAGGGGUGAAUUUUGAAUCCCUUUCUUUACUGCUUAGUCUCUAUCUUUACCUGUCGUGCUAUAUGUUGAUAUAGCAUAUCAUGAACUAUGUUAUUACAUACCUAAAAGACGUUUCACAAUCAAUGUUACAAAUUUAUGAAUAAUCAAAUGUCUAAACAUUUGCAAAUAUAAGGGGCAUGAUAUGUUAGUUGUUCACUGCAGACCGACAUACUCUUGAUUUGAAGCUCUGUUCAUCAUGCAAGUACUCGUCAAGGCCUGAGAUUAUGUCGUUGCUUUGGAAAUAGAAGAGAGCAUAAAAUGUUUCCCUUGAUCAGAUGAAAAAUGAUGGGCAAAAGUGAUAAUAUAAGCAUAUGCAUUUUGACAAGUUAGGUCUCGCCGGGUGAAGACUCAUGAAGAUUCCAAAAUACAUAAGUUUCUAUAACAUCCAAUCCUCCGUCUUUUGCCUUCUGUUUUACCCCCUCCCAAUUUUGUCCAUUGUUAAAAAAAACCCCACCCCCACCCCACCCCCAAAAAAAAAAGAUAUAUUGAAAACUUUGAAAAAGAAAAUGUCAUACAUCAGGGGUGCUUCUGGGGUAAUGAAUGGAACCAAAAAAAGGAAUUUUUCUUUGGCCAUUGACAAUGAGAGACUUCUUGUCAUAAUUGACACUACAAUAACCAAUUUUUGACACACAAAUCAACACAAAAAAAUUGCAAGAAUCAUUUGGUACUAGCCUAAAGAAAAAUUGGAAGUAGAUGCAACAUGCUAACGUCACAUAUUUUCUGCUGGAGUCAAUAGGGACGUUUGAUAGGAUUGUAUGCUAUUAACCCAUUUAAUCAUGUUGAAUGGAAUUCAAUCAUAUGUCUGGCCUUUCUAUUUCACAUUUCAUUCUCUCUCAGGGAUUAAUACCAUUAAUUUAAAAAAUGAACGUCGCAAGCUUUUAUAAAACAAUUAAAAAUGAUUUAAGUGACAAAAAAGCAAAUAUAAGCAAUGUUGUUCUUCAAAAUUCAAAUAAGACAUAUUGUAAUCCAAAAUGUUAGACAUAUAUAUAUAUAUAUAUAUAUAUAUUCUUUUCCUUUAGAAAUAUCUCCUUGACUUCCUAAGAAUUCAACUCCUACAUAUCUCACUAUGUGAUCUAUUUCUGCAUGAGUUGAUUUGUUAAAAUGCUCUAUAACUUCUAUUUUGAAUACUUUUUCAGCUUCCUCUGAUAUUCUUCUAAACCAAUUGUCUACCUUUCCAGUAAAGGUGCUUGUGGCUAUUAAGUAUUUUUCAUCAGUUGAAUUCUUCUUGAAAUUUCUUCGUUUUUUAAAGUACCUUUCUCUCGGUACAUAAUUUUUCUUGAAAAUUUUUUUCCUUUUAAUUAAUCCUUUGGUUUUUCUUUUUCUUUUUAAAGAAUUUCUUUCAUGACAUCCCUAUUGAGAUGCUGCUUCUGUGUCUUCAAUAUAUAUAUAUUCCACAAAACUCACCAUAAAUUUUGAGCAAUGAAAUGUGAUGAAUAAAAAGUAUUUUAUUUAUAAGAUAAAACUAACUUGGUCAGUAACUAACCGUACAUUUUUUGUAAAGAUAAAAGUCAGUCAAGCACACCAUCUGUUCUGUCGACUCUUCCAGUUGCUGCCUAAUCUAUGGGAAGAAAAAUACCAUGCAUAUCAUGUCACUUUUACACCCCAAAAGGUAAGAAAAUUUAGGUUAUGUGCUCAAUCAUGUCAGAUUGAGCUCGAAUCCUCCCUGGAUGAUAACAUUUACAAAUCUCCCCAUGCUCGUAAGGAACAUAACAACCAGAAGAAGAAAAUGGCAUAUUAGUAAAACUAUUUGGUAACGUAGGAGAUGAAUGUUCCAUAUAGAACCUAAUUAAGGCCAUUCUCAGAAAGAACAUAAGCACAACUGCUCCCAGAUUUGAAAAAGUCCGAUAAACCAUGAAACUCAAACAAACAAAAAAGAAACAAUUUUACCAAUAAGCUAUCAGAUUAUAAAAUUUGGAUAACCAUCUUUAAACAAAAUGUAGAUUUCAAAGAAUAGAUAAAAACACAAACAUCCAAUAGUAUGGUGUAAAAUUCUAUUAGUUCCAUAUUCAUUAGUAUUAGGACCUCCUACAAUUCAUAUGGAGGUUCUCACUAUAAGCACCAGCAACUGCACUAAUCAUACUGAUUCCACCCACAGUGAAUAUCACAACACACAUCGACGCCUCAAGCCCUCACAUAAUCUUUUAAUGUAUAAGAGAUUAAAGAUUAUAUAUAUAUACUAGUUUAGGUGUACGUGUCUUGCGCGUUACUUUAAUCACUUCAAACAUUAUACUAAAUAAGAUAUUUAUUUAAAUAAUAAAGAUAAAUAUAAUUGUAGACAUCUAAAAUUUGUGAGACUUUACAAAAAAAAAUCUAAAUUCUGUUAGAGUUCUUAAAGUCUAGUUUACUCUAAAUCCUGAAUUAUGCAUAUAUAAAGGGCAAAUAUUCCCUUAAGAAGGCAUCUCUUGUAUCCCACAAAUUCACGGGAUAUUUACAAAGAGAUCAACGAUCUUCAAAGUCCCAAUAAAUUCAUGGGAUAUUUAUAGAUCAAAACUUUUUCUUCUUGAUAAUCAAAUACAUCAAGAAGAUCCAAAAAAAACCUCCUUUCAUGGAGAUCAAAUCCAAAUAUUUCUACGUUCGAGAAAUACGCCACUAACGACCCUCGAAUUAUGUAGAAAUCCAUAUCAAAUCCUAAAUUCGAGAAAUACGCUACUGACAACCCUCGAAUUAUGGAGAAGAUCAAAUCCAAAUAUUCCUACGUUCGAAAAAUAUGCCACUAACGGCCCUCGAAUUAUGAAGAAAAUCAUGAGAGAAGAAUCAAGGGAGGAACAGAUUUGUAUCCCCAUCGUUUAUCAAUAAAACUGUUGUUUCUUCAUAUUUUUAUUUGUGGUUGAAGUUUAUUUUCCAUGAAUUAAAUUAUGUUGAAAACAAUAAUAAUUAAAUUUAAUAUCUUUUGAGUAUGUAAAAGAUGAAGAAUUUAUUUAUUAAGCCUAACCUUUACCAAAAAUAUUUUUAAAAGUCGAUCGGCAUUCAUCUACUAUCUGUAAAUUGUAACAAAACAAUACAAUGAUAGAGACAUCAAAAUUAUACAAUUAAAUCUAGUAUUUAUACACAAACAUUUUCUCAAAAUUGUCUGACACUCAUCUACCACCUGUAAACAGUAACAAAACAAUACAAUAAUAAAAAUAUCAAAAUAAUACAACUAAACAUAACCUUUACAUAAAAAGAUUCCUCAAAGCUGACCAACAUUUAUCUAUUACCUGUAAACUGCAACAAAAUAAUACGAUAAAAGUGAUAUCAAAAUAAUAUAAUUAAAUUUAAAUUUUACACACAAAAAUUUAUCAAAGUCGAUCGAGAUUCAUCUACGAACUGUAAACUACCACAAAAUAACAAACUAAUAGAGAUAUUAUGAUAAUACAAUUAUAUAUAUAUANNNNNNNNNNNNNNNNNNNNNNNNNNNNGCACCCCCCACCCCCAGCACCCGCCUCUCCUGCGCCCUUCUUCUUCAUAUCCCCCCUCCUCCUCCAGCAUCCCCCACCCCACCCCACCCACUUUUUCUUGACUAUUUUCCCUCACCCGCUCCCCCCACCCUUUCUUUAUUCCAUUUCAACCUCCAUCUCUGUCAUGAAAAAUGUUUUUUCCUCCAUGCUUUUUUUAAUUACUCCAUUAAAAUCAUUAGAUAACAACUAUGAAAACACCAAUUUAAGAUAAUUCCUCCAUUAAAACAUUAUUUCAAUCCAUUCUUCUUAAACUUUUUCUUAAAGUAAUACUAGUAGUUUAUAGUGAGCAAUGAUUAGAGUAAUUAUGAUAAUGAUUGAAGUAAUCAUUAUAAUGGUUGGGAGGAUAAAUACAAUUGUUUAGUAAUGAUUUUCGUAGUUACAGCAGUUGUGUUUGAUUUUAGUUUGGAAUUUUCUUAUGGCCAUCACAUUAUGAUUUUGAUAUUUUGGUAAUGGUUAAAGAAAAUGGGUAUGAUUGUUUGAUGAUGUAUCGGAGAAGAAAAUGGUGUGGGGUGUGGGUAUGGGGUGCAGGGUAGGAAUGAGAGGUGAGGAAGGGUGGAGAGCAUUGAAGAAGAAAAGGUUGAUUUAUAUAUAUAUAUAUAUAUAUAUGUGUGUGUAUGUGUGUGUAUGUGUGUAUGAAAUUUGAUGAAAUAUAUAAUUUUUUAAAUAGUAAACGCGCUCCUUUUUUUAAAAAUGUCACGUCAGCAUUGGGGAUGAAACAAAUACACUUUAAAGAUGUUAAGGGGGUAAAUAAACGAAAGCUUAGUUUAAGUGAUAAAGUAAGUUGAGGGGACAAGUUCAGGAGAAAUUCAUGUCUUUUCUCAUAUGUAUCAUUGUUAUAUAUAGUUUUUUUCUUUUGUUAAAAACUGUAUUUAGUAUCGAAUUGUCGUUUAUAUCAUGGUACCCAAAAAAAGAAAACACGAAAAAUAGAGGAAAUUGGACAAAUAACACAAAAAAAUUGCAUUGAAUAAUGUAUGAUAUCAAUUCUCAUAAAGUAAAAACAUAGAAAGCGUAAACGAACAAAUAAACCAACCUAAGCAAAUGGUCCUAACUUCUACGAAUAAACGAAUGCAUUGCCACAAAAAUAAAUAAAAAGACUUCAAGUCUUCUCUACUCCUCUGAAGAAGCACUGAAAUCAAUUCCACAAGUGUGAACAUCAUUAUGAUCUGAAGAAGAAUCUGAAGUGUGACCAUGAUUAUGACCAUGAUGAGGAUGACGACCAUGACCACGACCAACAACUUUUGGUUUGAAGCAACCAAAAAGAGAACUUCCAUAGCGCACCCGAACAGCCUGAAUAAUGAGAAAUUAAUAUAAAUAAUCAAAUUAUGUAAAACUUCAACUUUGGAAUAGGUUGUGCAUAAAUUAAGACAGAGAGAGUAAAACUCUUAGGUUGUGCAUGAUAGUACGUAAAGUAAAUUACCUUUUUGGACUUUUUAUCCUCGCCAGAGCUGGAGCCGUCGUCAAGUUUGUGCUCGUAAGUGAGGAGCUCCGCCUUCUGAUUGGUUGUUCUUUCCACUAUCUUCCUGAGCCUGGAGAUGUUUGCAAUACUCCCUGUCACCAUUAUUUUUCCAGUAUUGUAAUCCGCAUUCACAUCUUUCACACCUUCGUUAUGAAUGAUAUAAUCAGUGGCAGAAUUAAAAUUUUGACAUUCAAAGUAUCAAAAAGUAAAUACAAAAAAAUGUCAAAAGAGGUUCAACUCCUCCAUGCAUGUACAAAAGAAAAGAAAAAUUCGAGCAUGCAUGAAUAGUGGAGUAUAAUUUUCCAGGAAAAGAAUUUAAAUGAACCUCUUGACUGCCCUGAUAAUUAGGUGAAUUUGAUCAUGAAAUUUUUUAUUUUUUUCAAACUUAAACUCCAGAAAACACAUCCAGUGGUAAAAUUUCAAAAACGAUAUAAUAUUGUUUCAAACUCUAAACUACUCAUAAAAUUUUAAAAAGCUAUCCUAAUUUAUUUCUUGAUCAAACAAGACUGCAAUGUCCGAAUAUAAUUUUUCACCUAAAAAAAGACUAUUUUCAAUUUUUACAAAGAAACAUCGUUAAACGCCAACUAAAUUUCAAGCCCAAGUCCUUGCUCCUACUGUUUUCUAAACUGAAAUCUAAAAAUUUCUUGUUAACUAAUUUACACAUAAUGAUGUUUAAUUAAUUAAAAUGAAUUACCUUUAAAUUGACGAAUGAAUUGCUCAACUUCUCUAGCAUGUUCUUCACCAUGCAAAUCUUGUUGAAACACACCAGUGGUGAUGGUCUUCAUUUGAAAUUUGAAGAAAUUUGAGAAUUCUUCGAAGCAAAAUUAUUGGAAGGAAUUAAUUAAAAAGUAUGUGUAGAAAAAAUAAUAGGACAAUGAGGUGAAUAUAUAGAAAUUGGGUUUUGUCGGACUUCCCUAGUUUGGUGACAUGGAGAAGUUUUUAACUACCAUAUUUAACAAAAAAAAAAAAUAACCAUAAAUAUAUUGAAUAUUAUAAAGUAAUUAUAGUCAAAAUUAGACUUUUAAAAUAUUAUUAAUAAAAAAAAAUUUUGGUUAAAUAUAUAUAUAUAUAUAUAUAUUCCUAAUAAAAGUUUUUUUAAAAAGUAUGACAUAUUAAUAAGGAUCAAAUAAAAUAGAACGAUCAAAUACAAAUUUUGGGAAAUUUGCCUACAUAGAAUUGUUUGUUUUUACCUUUUACCUUUGUUUUAAGGAAUUUGUCCAAAAAUAGCUCACCAUAACACUACACUUGGCAGAAUGAAAAAUUACCUUUUUUACAAGUUUUGUUAACCUUCCAGAAUUUUAGUUCAGUCUUCGUUUUGCUUGUUUCAUUAAAUUAUUUACAAGUCUAACGAAAUCUUGCCUUGCUAAAUUGUGCAUGGUCAUAACUUAUGUAUAGAUGCAUAUUUAAAAUUUGAAAUUUAUGAGUUUUUAUAACGACUUUAAAUAACUAUAUAAAAAUAUCUAGGUUCACAAUCACAUAUUUUAGAAAACUAUUAUUCAUAGUCGUAGGCUGCUGAUUUUAUACACAGAAAGACGCAACAAAAUAAAUCAAAAAGUUGGAACGACUAACUAAGAUAACUCCUAAAAAAAUAGGAAACAAAUUCACGAUAAAAUACUCUCCUAAAGACUAGGACAAAGCUGGAAAUAGACUAGAAAUAGGACUUCAUUUGCUGACUUUAUUUGCUAACACUCUCCCUUACACUGAAAGCUCUCAAGCUCCAGGUUAACAGUAGCUAGUUGAAUUCUUCCAUCGUGCCAAUACCCAUCGACCUCCUCAGCUUUUGGAAAGGGAGAAACCUGAGAGGUUUAGUAAGAAUGUCUGCCAACUGAUCUUCACUUCGGCAAUACUGAAGCUCUAUUGUUCCUUCAUUGUUGAGAUCUCGCAGGAAAUAAUACUUCACAUCAAUGUGCUUUCUUCUUCCAUGGUUCACAGAAUUCUUUGACAACUUGAUUGCGGAAUUGUUGUCACAAAAUAUCAUAGUAGCACUUCCCAUCUUGAAUUGCAACUCUUUAAGGAUUCUCCUAAGCCAAAUAGCUUGACAAGCACAAGCUGUAGCAGCUACAAAUUCAGCUUCUGUACUUGAUAAUGUGACAACUGUUUGCUUUUUGGAAGACCACGAUACAACCAUUGUGCCUAGCAUAAAGACAUAAGCUGAAGUGCUCUUUCUACUAUCUUGAUCUCCUGCAUAAUCGCUAUCAGUAAAGCCAAUCAAAUCUGCCUUUUCUCCCUUCGUGUAGAAAAUUCCAAAAUCUUUGGUUCCUUGUAAGUAAUGAAGAAUUCUCUUCACAGCUAAGAGAUGCAUUUCAGUUGGGCACUCCAUAUAUCUACUUACAAGACUAACAGCAGACAUGAUGUCUGGUCUUGUAGCAGUUAGGUACAUUAGACUACCCACAAUUUGCUUGUAAAAAGUGUUAUCCUCUUCUUUCCGCUCCCAAUUUUGGUUAGUUUCAAGCCAAACUCUACUGGAAUGUUGGUUGGAUUGCAAUGUUGUAUCUUAAACCUAUUUAAAAUUUCUCUCACGUACUUCUUUUGGGAAACAAGUAUUCCAUCAUCAGAUUGCACUACUUCUUAACCAAGAAAGUAAUGCAUCUUACCAAGAUCAGACAUCUCAAAUUCAUCCAUCAUACACUUCUUGAAAUCAGAAAACAUGUCACUAUUAUUCCCCAUGAAGAUGAGAUCAUCGACAUAUAAACACGCAAUGAGCAUUUUCCCAUUCUCCCCAAUUUUCACAAAAAGUGUAGGCUCAUAUGGACACUUUUGAAAACCCAUUUUUUGAAAAUAAGCCUCAAUGCGACUAUACCAAGCCCGUGGGGCUUGUUUUAGUCCAUAAAGAACUUUCUUUAAUCGAUAAACUUUAGGCUCACUUCCAAUCUUAACAUAACCAUGGGGUUGUUCGAUAAAUACCUCUUAAGCCAAGUAUCCGUGUAGAAAUGCUUAUUUGACAUCCAAUUGAAAGAUCGGCCACAAAUUUUGUGCUGCCAAGGCAAUUAGCAUUCUAAUAGUGUCAUGCCUUACCACUGGAGCAAAAAUUUCAGUAUAAUCCAUACCAUACUCUUUCUUGUAUCCCUUAGCCACCAAUCGCGCCUUAUACUUGUCGAUUUCGCCAUUUUCUUUCAGUUUUAUCUUAUAGACCCACUUAACACCAAUAAUCUUGUGUUUCUCAGGAAGAUCAAUAAGUUCCCAAGUAUCAUUCCUUUCAAUAGCUUUAAUUUCAUCAUUCAUCGCCUUUCUUCAUUUUUCUUCUCUAACAGCACUCUAAAAAAUAAUCGGGUCACAAUCUGCAAACAAUGUAAAAUGGUUAACCGCAUCAUUAUUUGCAUUAAUUCCUGUUACCUCAUAGUCCAUCAUCCAUGCGGGCUUUUUGCGGGCACAACGAAGAGACUGAACUGCUGCAUCAGUUUCUUCUAAAGCUAUUGGUAAAGUUUCAGCAGUUGGUGAACUUUCAGAAAGAGUUGGUAAAAUUUCAGCAGCCGUAGGAGUUGAAUUCACUGCACUUUUGGGUAUUACAUCUACUUCUUCGGCUCCUGUAUCAAAUAUGAUUAGAGUAGACUGCUGCAUACUCCAAUCCCAAGUGUUUUCUUCAUAAAAAAUAACAUCUCUACUGAUUACAAUCUUCUUCAUCAGUGGAUUAAGCAAUUUAUAUGCCUUUGAUGCUUCACUAACACCUAGAAAGAUACAUUUUUCUCUUUUGUCAUCAAGCUUCUUCCUCUUCUCAUCUGGAAUAUGCGCAUAGGCAAUGCAACCGAAAAUUUGAAAGUGGUCCACAGUUGGUUUUCUUCCACUCCAAACUUCCUCCGGAGUCAUGUUUUGAACAGCAAAUGUUGGACUUCUAUUUAAUACAUGAAUGCUCCAAUUUACCGCUUCUGGCCAGAAAGUCUUUUCCAUUUUUCCUUUGGCCAGCAAACUCCGCACCAUAUUGAGAAUGGUUCUAUUCUUCCUCUCCGAUACACUAUUUUGCUGUGGUGUAUAAGCAGCGGUGAGCUCUCUUCGAAUUCCACUAAAUUCACAAAAAUCUUCAAAGAGUUUUGAGCAAUACUCUCCCCACAAUCAGUUCGAAGAGUCUUUAUGACCCUUCCAAUUUCAUUUUCUACGUGAGUUUUGAAGCUUUUAAAUGCUCCAAAAGCUUAUGAUUUUUCUUGUAAAAAAUACACCAAAGUUUUUAGAGAAUAGUCAUCCGUAAAGGUAAUGAAAUAUCUUUUACCUCUAUUAGAAAUUGGUUUAAUUGGGCCACAGAUGUCGGAAUGCACCAGCUCCAAAAUAUCCUUUGCUCUCCACGACUUCCCUUUUGAAAAUUGAGAACGAUGUUGUUUGCCAACAACACAUUCUUCACAAACUUGGGAAGGGAUGAUGAUUUCUGGAAGACCGAUCACCAUAUUUUUCUGUUGGAGAGUUUUUAAUCCACCAAAACUCAAGUGACCAUAUCUAAAAUGCCACAUCCAUGAGGGAUCUUUUAUUUCCGCCUUUAAACAAGACUGAAUACUCUCAAUAUUUAAGGAAAAUAACCUCUUUGAAUUCAUUUUCGCAACAGCACUAGCUACUCUAGUAGGACUAUAAAUCUCACUAACAUCUUUCCCGAUGAAAAUAGAAUAUCCUUUUUCUUGCAAUUGUCCAACACUCAAUAAGUUGUUUUUUAAAGCUGGAACAUAAAGCACAUUUGAUAUUAUUUCUUCAAAACCAUUCUUGGCUUUAAUUUUAAUAUCACCUUUUCCCAUUGCAUCCACAGUAGAGCAAUCACCAAAACUAACUUUAGAACGAAAGCCUUCAUUUAAAGAAGAAAAACAAGACUUACUCCCACUCAUGUGAUUACUGUAGCCUGUGUCCAGAUACCAAACAUCUUGCACGGGUAUUUUUCUGUGCCUAUUGCCAUCAACAAGGUCUCGGUUUUGUUGUUUUCAACAAAAUUUAACUUCUCACCCUUGUCACUAGGCAGCCUAGUGUAGCACUCAGACGGAUAAUGAUCAAAUUUAUGACAUCGAUAGCAUUCGACUUUUGAUUUAUCAAACUUUUUCCCCCUGCCUUUGCCAUCAUCAUUGGCUCUAAAAUUUCUGCCGCCAUCUCUAUUUCCUCUAUCUUCUCUCCUUCUUCCUCUACCUCUACCUCUACCCCUUCCUCUAGAAUUGGAAGGAACAAAAGUAGAAGCCUUCAAGGCUUGCUCCACAAAAGUUGAACUGCAGUUCAUCUUCUGUUCAUGCACUAAUAGGAAGCUUUGUAAUUCAUCCAGCGAUAACUCAUCUAUAUCUUUUGAUUCCUCAAUGGAGCAAACUACAUAAUCAUACUUCGACGUCAAAGAGCACAAUAUUUUCUCAACAAUUGUGACAUCAGUCAUCUUCUCGCCAUGGAGUCGCAUUUUGUUGUUGAUCUUCAUUGUUCUUGCUCAAUAACUUAAUACGAACUCUCCUUCCUUCAUCUACAGAGUCUCGAAAUCCCUUCUCAAGGCUUGAAGCUAUGCACGCUUCACUCUAGCAGUGCCUUGAUAUUUCUUUUUCAUGGAGUCCCAAAUAUCCUUAGAAGUUUCUUUGCAAAGAAUAGUUUCUAGGAUGGGACGAUUGAUAGCCUGAAAGAGAUAAUUCUUUGCUUUCAAAUCUUUCAGUUUUUUAACUUCCAACUCUGUUUUUUGAGCAUUCGUCAAAAUUUCACCUACUGUCGGAGUAUCGAUGCCAUCCUCCACAAUUGGCCAAUACUCUUUUGACCGUAAGAAAUUCUCCAUCAGCAUGCUCCAAUGGUCAUAGUGACCAUCAAAGCGAGGAAUUGUUGUUUGUACGAAAUUACUGUCCUGAUGCCAUGAGUGUCACAGAAUAGAGAAGAGAGGUUUAGCUGUUGCUAUAUUUUUUUCUUUACUGCAGGAUCUCACGCUCUCUCUGAUACCACUGUAAACAGAUGUGAAACAGAGAAGUAUAUGCAGAAAUUUUUAAGACUAAAGAUAGAGUCAAUACACUGAAUUUAAUGAAACUAUCUUGACUGUUAUUCAUAGUCGUAGGCUACUGAUUUUAUACACAAAAAGACGCGACAAAAUAAACCAAAAAGCUGAAAUGACUAACUAAGAUAACUCCUAAAAAAUAGGAAACAAAUUCACGAUAAACUACUCUCCUAAAGACUAGGACAAAGCUGGAAAUAGAUUGAAAAUAGGACUUUAUUCACUGACUUUAUUUGCUAACAAGCAUGAUAUAAGGACAGGUAAGCAAAUAACAUAAUAAAGCACGAAAAAUCCUAAACUAAGCAUGUUAAGGCUAAAUCUAAAUUCAUGAGGGUCCCCAGCAGAGUCGUCAUUCUUUCGCGCCCUAUUUCAAAUCGAUCGAAAUAGCACACAACAUAUGGUAACGUGUGUCAUGACUCUUGGGUUUUAAAAAAAUUCAUUCAUUUUUUUAGAGUUGUCACCUAACUUUUAGGAAAAUUAGGAAUAAUUAUUUUAUGUAAAAAAAACUUUUUUUUUAGAUUUUGGGUAAGGAUUUUGGUUACCCAGGGAGAAGGUGUUAGGCACACCUCAAAGUCUAUCCAAAGAUAGUCCUUACACUCAGUUUAGAAAAAUAUUUAUAAAAAAUUUAUUUCGUUAUUUGCUAAAAUGAUGAUAAAAUACUUUUAUUAUUUUGAGAGAGGAAGGCUCGAGGUAUAUAACAUACUCCAAUAUAAUAUACAGAAUGUAUAUGCGUAUCAAGAUAUAAAAAUAGGAAAAAGGAAAUCUAGAAAGUGAUAUGUAUAUGUUGAGUGGGAAAAUAAGAGAUUUAUAAUUUUACGAGAACAUAUUAUUAAUAAUGUAUAAAAUUGGGUAAAUAUAUCCUUUGAAAAAUAAAGAAAAUAUAAUCUUGAAAAUAUGAGAAAAUUUACUCGCUAAAAUAAGAUGAAAUCCUAUGAAAUCGUAAAAGGGUCACACACGUUAGCCUAUGUAUAUACAUAUAUAUUAUUUUAUUUUUUAGUGGAUUAAAAGCACAAAUAAUAGAUAAAAAUAUCACAAAUUAAAGUGGAUCGAAAUAAAUUUUCUAAAUAAUAGAUGAAACUAAAGAUAUAACAAUGAAAAGUGGAUAAAAAUAAAUAUUAUGAUAAGAUAUAAAAUGUACAAAUAUAGUUAGAAUCAAGUAUAGAUAAUAACUAAAUAAAUGACUAUAAUAGAGGUAGAAUAUACCUCAUAUAUAAUAGUGUAAAUAUAUACCUCGUGACUUUGAAAUCUGGAGAAAAUCCAAAGCGAAUGUUGAAAAAUAAAGAAAUAGAACAUUGAUAUUAUUUAAUAAAUUCCGCAAAGUCUUUAAGUUUUGGCAACUUAUUUCCCGACUAAUUUACAUUGAAAUUUUAUUAUUUUAUUAUUAAUUAAUUAAUUUAAAAACGUGGACGGUUGUUUUUUAAGAUAUCAGUAAUGAGUUUUUUCAAAAAAAAAAAAAGAACCGAUUAUGAUAAAAAAAUAUAUUUCCCUUAGUGAUAACCACGUGUUAUUUGCGAAAGAUAAAGCUACUUCUAGAAAGGAAAGAUGAAUAAUAAAGCAAACAUAAGUUCAAUAAUCCAAUAAAUUCGACAAUAAGAGUUAGUUAUUGUAAAACUGAACUCAACAUAUAUUAAACCAAAAAGAUAAGGAAUGCUAAACUCCAUUUAGAAGUUUGGAAUUUAAAUUUUAUACUCCGACGCUCUGCGAUUCUAAUUAUGGUUGACCCGAUGCUUGGGUAUCGGGUCAAAGAUGAGUUCCGUUUCGAAACUCCAACAACUCCCGAGAGUGUACAUGAAAACAAAACAAAGAAAUAAAAAACAUUAGAAAGCGGUUUAGACAAACCAGAAAUGAGUAUAUCAGGGAGGAAACAUUUCCCUUGAAAUAUAUUUUCAACCAUACAGUAGCUUAAGCACAGACCAAAUAGAAAAAAUAACAAUCAUCUCAAACUAUUUUUUUUCAUUUAACUCACUCGAUCCAAAUUAAUAAAGUUAUCUCUCCUAAGGAGGACAUGCUACCCUGGAUCUCAGUUUCAAAACUACGUAUCCAUUCAUGGUAGCUUACUGGAAGAACGGAAGUAAUACUAAUAGUCUUGAAUUUCCACGCUGAGAAAGUCCAACGACGAGAUACAAAAGUUAAGCUGGAAUACUUCUAGACUCGCACCGUUAAUAUUGUUCACGCAACCAAACAAAGGAAAGGAGAUAGCUACAGAUUACAUAUAAUUGAAUGAGGAAGAAAUACAAAACAAUAAUUCUUAUCAUGGCUAAUCGUUCAUUUAGCCUUCCGAUUUUAACUAGUCGAGGGAAGAGACAAGUUCAACUUAAUUCCAUACAAAUACACUUUGAUAACUAAAAUGGACAUUGAAGCUUAGAGGCAAGAUUCUUCUACAUAUGCAUCUCUAAUCCAAAAGACACCAUUUUCGAACUCUGUUUGAUUAAGACUCCUCUGCUUCCUUGUUUUCUAAUGCGCGCGUAUUAACAAACCUAUGAUUUUAACUUCGUGAAACUGAAAUCAUCAAACGUCAUAAUACCCGCAUUUUCAAACUCUCAUAAGAUAAACAUUUUCUUCACUACUUUUCAAAGUCAUGUUUUGGUUGUGCCUCCUGCAAUUUGUACCCAAUGCUUCACACAAACCAGUGUUUUUUUUAAAAAAAAAAUCUAAAAUUAAUAUUACUAUUAUUUUUUAAUAGAUGUCCUAAACUAGUGCACGAGGUGAUAACAACCACAUACAAGGCUUGGGGUCAUGACGUUUACACUAUAAUAAUAUCGUCAAAACAUGAAUGAAACUAAGAAUGUGCCAUCUUCAUCAUUCUUCUAGACAUCAUCUUAAUUAUUCGAGAAACAAAGACGAUCAUUAGACUAAAUGAUGUGCUUAAUUACAAUGAAAAUAUGGUCUAGUCUUUUAUAUCACUAGCCACUUCAAAGUUGUUUUACUCACUUAGUCAAGGGCAUGAAAAAAAAAAGAACUUAAUAAACAAACAAUCAGUAAUCUCUACAACAUAUGCACACUAGUGUUUCGAGUUUAAGACAGUGAGUGAGAAACUUCAUUGGGUCUGUACAUGCUAACAUUUACUAAUACUGAAUAACUAAUACUAAAUUAACAUCACUUGAAGUUAUGUAUGCAGCAUGCUCAACAAAGCAAUGGAAAAACAAACUCAAAAAUUUAUCAUUUUAUCAAGUUCUAGUAGGGGAGAUGGGUUGCGCAUGGAGUUGGUGGAGUUUGUCUGGGUAGGGUCUGCUAGAGUGGUGGUGAAGAAGAGAGAAGGGGAAAGGAGAGAGGGAGCGGCCAUUGUUGCUGCAGUGUUUUGAAAAGAUGGAAGAGAUGGGACGAUGGUCAGUGCACGCGUGACUUGUGUGAGUUGAAAGGUGUGUAUUUUGGUUUAUUGGUAGUGGAAAAAGCCGUAUUAUAGGCUGAUUUUGGUGACUAAAAUAUGAGCCGUCUCAUCAUUUGAUCAGACGGUCUAAAUUUAAUAUAAAGAUAAAAUAAAUAAUAAUAAUAAUAAUAAAUAAAUAAUUAGAAUUUUUGAGACUACUGGACCAAG